This 617-nucleotide ribosomal RNA is filed under the name Rhizobium sp. RNAcentral's name for it is "bacterial SSU rRNA". It matches the Rfam family "Bacterial small subunit ribosomal RNA", at positions 101 to 754 of the family's 1533-position model. Lineage: Bacteria; Pseudomonadati; Pseudomonadota; Alphaproteobacteria; Hyphomicrobiales; Rhizobiaceae. The record is from RNAcentral.
UACGGGUGAGUAACGCGUGGGACCUACCCUUUCCUGCGGAAUAUCUCCCGGAAACUGGAAUUAAUACCGCAUAAGCCCUACGGGGGAAAGAUUUAUCGGGGAAGGAUUGGCCCGCGUUGGAUUAGCUAGUUGGUGGGGUAAAGGCCUACCAAGGCGACGAUCCAUAGCUGGUCUGAGAGGAUGAUCAGCCACAUUGGGACUGAGACACGGCCCAAACUCCUACGGGAGGCAGCAGUGGGGAAUAUUGGACAAUGGGCGCAAGCCUGAUCCAGCCAUGCCGCGUGAGUGAUGAAGGCCCUAAGGUUGUAAAGCUCUUUCACCGGAGAAGAUAAUGACGGUAUCCGGAGAAUAAGCCCCGGCUAACUUCGUGCCAGCAGCCGCGGUAAUACCAAGGGGGCUAGCGUUGUUCGGAAUUACUGGGCGUAAAGCGCACGUAGGCGGAUAUUUAAGUCGGGGGUGAAAUCCCAGAGCUCAACUCUGGAACUGCCUUUGAUACUGGGUAUCUUGAGUAUGGAAGAGGUGAGUGGAAUUCCGAGUGUAAAGGUGAAAUUCGUAUAUAUUCGGAGGAACACCAGUGGCGAAGGCGGCUUACUGGUCCAUUACUGACGCUGAUGUGC